CUCCAUGUCCUCAGCACAUGGCAUAAACUCAGGGAUUGGCAGCAUCAUAAGAACCUAUGGAGUGAGCAAUGUCUUACUUCAGAAGCUGAUGACCAAUGGAAAGCAAGGACCAAGAUGACACAGGAGCCAACUGUUAGCAGCACGAAGGAGGUGGAGUCAGGCAUGACAGCAUGGAAGGAGUCCAACCACCACCAUCCAAGGCUGACCAGAAACCACUUUAAGCCUCUUCCAUCCUGCUACGGUUUUACACCUCCCUAAAGAUAUAUAAUCAUGGGUUAAUAAGGCCCAGUAACCAUGGCUACACCCCAUAAUUCCCAACAUUCUUAUUUAUCCCUCCUCUUGACAAGCAGCCACCACUCUUCUCAAGCCUUGUCCCUGGCAGAUAGCCACAAUUCCUUUUCACUGAACUCUCCCCCUUGAAAGCCCCAUUUUGACCUUUUCUUUUCACAGCCCCCCCUUUAUGCUCAUGGCCCUAUAAAAGACCUCAGAGCCUGUGCGAGAGUUAUUGGUCUGGUCUAAGUGCCAGGGCAGUUCCUG
Molecule: long non-coding RNA, 537 nt
Filed under: Heterocephalus glaber (naked mole-rat)
Lineage: Eukaryota; Metazoa; Chordata; Mammalia; Rodentia; Bathyergidae
Description: lncRNA (ENSHGLG00000038437.1)
Source: RNAcentral